RNAcentral lists this non-coding RNA (792 nucleotides) under Scopura montana. RNAcentral describes it as "12S ribosomal RNA". The stretch from base 376 to 785 matches the Rfam family "Microsporidia small subunit ribosomal RNA", at positions 751 to 1303 of the family's 1311-position model. The record is from RNAcentral. Lineage: Eukaryota; Metazoa; Arthropoda; Insecta; Plecoptera; Scopuridae.
AUAAAGUUUUAUUCUUGCUUGUUAUUUUAUUUUAAGUUUGUUUUACAUGUUAGUUUUUGCGUGAUUUUUAUUUAUUCUUAAAGAGUAAAUAAUCAAGGUUGAUUCGCAGUAUUUAAUUUUAUUAAUCAAGGAGAUUUGGAAUUAGUAAUGUUUAUUAGUACCGGCAAAAGUCGUGCCAGCCGCCGCGGUUACACGGAGGGUGCAAAUAAAUAUUGUCAGUUGAUAGUUAUAUUGUAUGAUUUUAGGAAUUAAGAGUGAAUUUAUUAGGUGAAAUUUUAAAUUUAAGGUAAUUUCUGUAGGAUAUAGAAGCUGUGAAAUUUAAAUGUUAAACUAGGAUUAGAUACCCUAUUAUUUUAAAUGUAAAUUGGCUAUACUGGAGUAGUAAUAGUUAUGGGCUUGAAACUCAAAGAAUUUGGCGGUGUUUUAGUCCUUUCAGAGGAACCUGUCCCGUGAUCGAUAGUCCACGUAAAAUCUUACUUAUUUUUGUUUUCAGCUUGUAUACCGCCGUCGUCAGAAUGUCUUAGGAGGGGUAUAAUUUUCUUAAAUUUUUAUUAGAAAUGAUGUCAGGUCAAGGUGCAGUUUAUGAAUAAGUGGAGAUGGGUUACAAUAAAUUUAUUUAAUAUGGAAAUUGUUUUGAAAUAAAUAAUAGAAAGUGGAUUUGAAGGUAAUUGGAUUAAUUAAGUUAAUUUGAUUUUGGCUCUAAAACAUGCACACAUCGCCCGUCGCUCUCGUUAUUUAAGGCGAGAUAAGUCGUAACAUAGUAGGCGUACCGGAAGGUGUGCCUGGAAAGUU